CAGAAGUUUUGGCUUGUAGCCCAGUAUCCCAGAGACCAGUGCCGGGUAUUCAGACGGUGCAAUGAUCUUCGACACGGAGGACUUCAGAUUCCCGCGUCAGAUGUGACGGCAACCACCACUAAGAGGGUAGUCACAACCAACUGUAGCCAAACUUGCCAACUGAGUGGUUCAGAUAAUUCACAGACUGCAGGAAUUCCUCUACUUGCAGGUUGAUUGUCUUGCCCAUUGUUUAGCUACUGAUUUGAACAACAAGGAGGAGGGGUGAACACAAACAGGAUGUGUCAAAGGAAUAGACAACUAAUAAGUAAAGUAAACAACAAAAAAGAUACAUUUUAUGAAGAAAUUGGUAAUCAAUAUAAAAGGCUGAAAUAACCAUGUUA
RNAcentral lists this long non-coding RNA (380 nucleotides) under Pogona vitticeps (central bearded dragon). RNAcentral's name for it is "lncRNA (ENSPVIG00000013891.1)". Lineage: Eukaryota; Metazoa; Chordata; Lepidosauria; Squamata; Agamidae. The record is from RNAcentral.